This 253-nucleotide ribosomal RNA is filed under the name uncultured bacterium. RNAcentral's name for it is "partial 16S ribosomal RNA". It matches the Rfam family "Bacterial small subunit ribosomal RNA", at positions 524 to 776 of the family's 1533-position model. The record is from RNAcentral.
UACGUAGGGGGCAAGCGUUGUCCGGAAUUAUUGGGCGUAAAGAGCUUGUAGGCGGUUUGUCGCGUCUGCUGUGAAAUUUCGGGGCUCAACCCCGAACUUGCAGUGGGUACGGGCAGGCUAGAGUGUGGUAGGGGAGACUGGAAUUCCUGGUGUAGCGGUGAAAUGCGCAGAUAUCAGGAGGAACACCGAUGGCGAAGGCAGGUCUCUGGGCCACUACUGACGCUGAGAAGCGAAAGCAUGGGGAGCGAACAGG